CCCUUAGUUAUCCUAGGUCGCACGCGCCAUACAAUGUGGCGCACAACGAGUCUCCUUGGCCGACAGGAUGUCCCGCGAGCGAUCGGCGACGCAGCCAGCUCGGUCUUCGGGCAGACUCGGUGAGAGUGGCCCGUCCUCCUGAGAGGGCGAUCGUCGAUGCCUCGGGAUUCUGGGCAAUCUGGCAGAGCGCUACGUGACUGGGCUAGACUUUUGUAAUUUUUGGUCUUGAACGAGGAAUGCCUAGUAAUCGCAGGUCAGCAUCCUGCGAUGAUUCGGUCCCUGCCCUGUGUACACACCGCCCGUCGCUCCAUCCGUGGCAUGCGCCGGUGAAGAGGGGGAGGCAGCGUCGGCCGUGUAACAGCGGAUCGUACGUGGAACCCCUCUGAACCUUCGCACGUAGAGGAAGGAGAAGUCGUAACA
This 420-nucleotide ribosomal RNA is filed under the name uncultured eukaryote. RNAcentral's name for it is "partial 18S ribosomal RNA". It matches the Rfam family "Eukaryotic small subunit ribosomal RNA", at positions 1470 to 1796 of the family's 1831-position model. The record is from RNAcentral.